GCCUUUAUGGUGUAAAGGUAGCACACACAGUGCAUAUCUGAAAGGUCCAGGUUCGAGUCCCGGCGAGGGCA
Molecule: transfer RNA, 71 nt
Filed under: Stegodyphus mimosarum
Lineage: Eukaryota; Metazoa; Arthropoda; Arachnida; Araneae; Eresidae
Rfam family: tRNA
About the family: Transfer RNA (tRNA) molecules are approximately 80 nucleotides in length.
Source: Rfam by way of RNAcentral